UACAGAGGGGGCAAGCGUUGUUCGGAAUUACUGGGCGUAAAGGGCGCGUAGGCGGCCUGUUAAGUCGAACGUGAAAUCCCCGGGCUCAACCCGGGAACUGCGUCCGGUACUGGCAGGCUUGAAUUCGGGAGAGGGAUGUGGAAUUCCAGGUGUAGCGGUGAAAUGCGUAGAUAUCUGGAGGAACACCGAUGGCGAAGGCAAUCCCCUGGGCCUGCACCGACGCUCAUGCACGAAAGCGUGGGGAGCAAACAGG
This 253-nucleotide ribosomal RNA is filed under the name uncultured bacterium. RNAcentral's name for it is "partial 16S ribosomal RNA". It matches the Rfam family "Bacterial small subunit ribosomal RNA", at positions 524 to 776 of the family's 1533-position model. The record is from RNAcentral.